AAAAUAUUGUCUCAAAAAGAAAUUUUGGCUAAAUGGAGGAACAAUGGAAAUCGCAACCUUAAGCAAAUGACAUCCUGCAAGAAACAUGCUGAAGAAUUAAAAAACUGGCAUCAACAAUAGAAAAUAAUGAAAAAUUGUUGUCUGAAUUAAAUAACAUUGAACACUGGUUUUAGAAUACAUAUUUAUCUGGUUUUAUAGAAAAGAAGAUAAUGUCAGCAUAUGUGGAUAACGUAACAAUAGAUUGGGAUAGAGUGCAAAUAGUCAAACCGAUUUACAGCUCCAACACAGCCAUUACGCAAGAGACACUGGAGAUAUUGACUAGAAGAAAAAAGCAGAACAUCAUAAAUGACAGACCCAUGACUGAUUUACCGGAAGCUUGGACUUUUUUAUUGAAGAAGAAUGGGAAAAUAAAAUUGACCACAAGGCACAAGCCUUGAAAACACGGAACUUUAUUUUAUCAUGUUUUAUUAAUGUAUUCGAUGAG
Molecule: long non-coding RNA, 484 nt
Filed under: Androctonus crassicauda
Lineage: Eukaryota; Metazoa; Arthropoda; Arachnida; Scorpiones; Buthidae
Source: RNAcentral